UUCUGAAAUGGAAAGGAAUGCUAACAAAGUAGGUUAAACAUUUACAAUAUGCCUACAGGAGAGAAUCUGCUAGCAUAAAAUCUCUGGCUCUUUGCUGCAGAACCAGAACAGAAUGGAAUGUCCUGCGUUGUCUAGGCGACAAGGUUCCUUGGAACAGAGCUGGCUACUGGUGCAGAGGCACUAAGAAAUGAAAGCAGUUGCUGACGUCUUGGAAUAUUCUAUUCAAAGCUUUAAUUGACAAGAUUUAUAAAAUGACUUAAUUUUUCCAGGUUUCUUGAAAUGGUAACCUUUUGAAGACAUUCUCCAGUGCUUACAUCCCACAGGCACAGUGUAUUGUCCCGAGAACCAGUACAUAUCUGUGAAGAAUCUAUAAAUGGUUUUGAAAAGAUCAUAAUUUUAAAUGGAAUUUAGGAAAGCACACUCAAAAGGAAAAGCUCUGCAGGUUAGAAACAGGUUUAAUGUAAGCUUCACCUGGAUUCACAGCUAAUCCAGUAACAACCAUAUCAUGGCCUGGAAACUGUUGUGCUGGUUGUAAAUUUCCAUUAAACUCCCACAUUAUUGCUGUCUUGUCA
Monodelphis domestica (gray short-tailed opossum) is the source of this 572-nucleotide non-coding RNA. The record is from RefSeq and is a predicted model, not a curated record. NCBI's taxonomy places the organism in Eukaryota, Metazoa, Chordata, Mammalia, Didelphimorphia, Didelphidae.